CCUACGGGUGGCUGCAGUAGGGAAUAUUGGGCAAUGGGCGCAAGCCUGACCCAGCCACCCCGCGUGAAGGAAGAAGGUUCAUAGAAUUGUAAACUUCUUUUGUCUAGGGAUAAAAGCCGUGUAACUCACGGAAUUGAAGGUACUAGGCGAAUAAGCGCCGGCUAACUACGUGCCAGCAGCCGCGGUAAUACGUAGGGCGCAAGCGUUGUCCGGAUUUACUGGGUUUAAAGGGUGCGUAGGCGGCUUAAUAAGUCUGUGAUGAAAUGUCAGGGCUC
Molecule: ribosomal RNA, 275 nt
Filed under: uncultured bacterium
Lineage: Bacteria
Description: partial 16S ribosomal RNA
Rfam family: Bacterial small subunit ribosomal RNA
Source: RNAcentral